AGAACGAACGCUGGCGGCAUGCCUAACACAUGCAAGUCGAACGUGAUCCAUGACUUCGGUUGUGGUGAAAGUGGCAAACGGGUGAGUAACGCGUGGGAAUCUGCCCAGAGGUAGGGAAUAACCGCGGGAAACUGCGGCUAAUACCCUAUGUGCCCUGAGGGGCAAAGAUUUAUCGCCUUUGGAGGAGCCCGCGUCGGAUUAGGUAGUUGGUAGGGUAACGGCCUACCAAGCCUACGAUCCGUAGCUGGUCUGAGAGGAUGAUCAGCCACACUGGGACUGAGAUACGGCCCAGACUCCUACGGGAGGCAGCAGUGGGGAAUAUUGGACAAUGGGGGCAACCCUGAUCCAGCAAUGCCGCGUGAGUGAUGAAGGCCUUCGGGUUGUAAAGCUCUUUCGGCGGGAAGAUGAUGACGGUACCGCAGAAGAAGCCCGGCUAACUUCGUGCCAGCAGCCGC
This 455-nucleotide ribosomal RNA is filed under the name uncultured bacterium. RNAcentral describes it as "SSU rRNA". It matches the Rfam family "Bacterial small subunit ribosomal RNA", at positions 26 to 518 of the family's 1533-position model. The record is from RNAcentral.